CAAGGCGGUGGGCGCCGGACCCCGCCUCCCAGACCUGCCUCCCAAUUUUCGGUGAGUGGUGUAGCCCUGGGCGGCGUGCAAAGUGUGCGACGGCGGCGCUUACCCCUGCUGCGCGCCUCCUUACCUCCAGCUUCCCGGUUAGCGCGCGCGGGGACCGCCACCCACCCCUCCCUCCCGGCGGCGCGUGCCCGGCGGCGGGUCGUCCGAUGAGAGGUGUUAUGUGAGCGCGAAAAACGAGCAUCGCAAGAGCAAGCAGGCGCCGGCGACUCGAGAGCCGAGUGGUGGUGGCCGGGGCCGCGAGGUCUGCGCCCCCGGAGUCCUCCUGGGCGGGACAGGUGGCGGGUCAGGGCGUCCCGGUUAUACGAGGCCGGUCCGGGGUGCCGCGGGGGGAUGCUCUGGAACAGAUGGAAAAGUAGUUUAUUGAACACGAAUUUGUUUGAGAAUUGUUUAAAGACUUUCAAGUGUCCCACCCCAGCCCUGUCCCAUAUGAGGAUGCGGUACAGCGUGGUGGGUGAAGAGCAGUCACACCAAGUUCUCAACGACUCGGCCGCGGCUCACUUUUCCUGGGACCUUGGUUGAGUCUCCUGGUUGAGCCCUGCGCGUGUCUGCUUGGGUACAAUUCAUUCAGUCAAUAAAAGUUUGGUCCGUGCGGCCCACCUUGGGCCCAGGUGAGUCAAGAGUAGCCCAGCCGUCAAUCUAAGACUUGGCAACUGCCUUUGGUGGGUCGCGGCUGCCUGCCGGUCAACCCCAAUCCAUAAAGUAGUCGUGAACUCUCUCCCCGCCUUUAACUUUCUUUCACUUCGAAACAGUAAAACUUUGGAUGUUUGGGGGGAUAGAAAGAAAGGAAGAGGCAGCCUACUUGUAAAUGGAAACACAGCUAACAUACCUAGGGGGUGGGGGGAUUGUUCGGUUUGGUCAGAGGCCUUGAGUAAACUGUCCAAAUAGUGUUGUUUUCUUUGAAAAUAGACACUGUUAACCAUUCAACGGGACUGCUGCAAUCCCCCGCUUCUCCUCAGUUUGCUCAACUCAAAGUAAGAAAAGUUGUGUCACAUGAAGAUGUCAGCUAUUAUUGUUCUUGGCCCCAUUCAGUACACCUCUACCCCCCUUCUACAAGGCCUCACUUUAUGGACCUGAAAGACAGCGGAGGGCAAUUCAAAGCCAGCAGACAACACUUGGAAUUAAGAACAGGAAGCGAAAUCUUCACGCCAGACCCUCAUGAUCUACAACUGCUACCUCGCCUGACUGCGGCUCUCAGACUCUCUCGAACUCUGCAGAAAAGUCGCUGUGCUUUGCCCUUUCCUCCUCACAUCCAAUUCACAAAACGAGGGCAGCUGGGACUUCUGUGCCUUUAUGGAUCUUCCUUGACUUUGACGUGUGGACACCAUCGAAGAGAGAAACUUCCUGGUCUCCAUGGAUGCCCGGUUCCCAGGACGAUUAGUGCCCUUCUCACAACAUCCCCAGGAGCCCCAGAAAGGCAGACAACUCAGCUUUCAAAUGAUCUGUACUAUGUGGAUUAACUGCAGAUGGACAGUUAUGAAGACCCAGGGUUGCAGUGACCUAACACCAAGAAAUGAAAACUCUAGAAAACUAGCCCUUCACGUAUACAAGACAUGAACACCCUGAGGGCAGGCGCCACAGGGCAAAGGUUUCACUGAGUCCUUUAAUCUGACCUGGGGUUAGAAAUCAGCAGUCACGAAGGUAGCCAACUUUCGAGGGAACUUGGCAACAGUGGAGGAGGGCCAGUGAGGCUCCAGACCAAACCUUGGGAGCUCCGGUAUGAAGUCAGCAUGCUGGUAAGAGGACAACUCUGGAAUGUCAAAGUCCGGCCUGAGCAAAAUGCCUACGGGGUGUCCUGGUCUGCAGAGGGCAGAAAGAAAGCUCUGCUGAGCCGAAAAGGAGCCUAGAUGAAAAAGCUUGCGUUGGUCCAUCCCACCAGCCACACAAAGGCCCUGAUGCCAGAUGGCUGACGGACAGAGAACCACCUCCAAAAGUUGACAGAUCUCCCACUUUGGGGACUGGUUCCAAUAAGGAUGCUUCUCACUAUGAUGGCUGAAGGCAUCAACCAGCUUAAAGCAGCAUUAGGUUUUUUGCUUCCUUAUCCUGAAAAGACAAAUCUCUACCUUCUGAGUACCAGGACAUUUUCAUAAUUGUACUCUCCGCUUCAAAAAGCCUAGCUGUGAAAGAAUCUUUCAAAGGAAGUUGAUAUAAAACUUAGUCGGGACCCAAAGACAUCUAAUCUGCAAGUUAAAUGGAUAUUCCAUGCAUUCAUAACCAUUCAAAGCAUCCUAGUGUCUAGAAAAACCUAACUGACCCCAUCCUAUCAUGAUGUUAUUAUUAACCCGGGCCUCAGGGGGGCGCCCUAGAGCAGGGGAACUUAAAGUCAUGCUCAGCCUUAAAAGUGAAUUUCUUAAACGGUUUUCUAUUAGUUAAAUCAGUAAUUAGUCUAAAUACAUCAUUUCAGUAAUCUGCCAUGAGUCAGUUGAAUGCAAAAUGGGGGGAAAAACUGUGGGCUAACUAGGGUGAUCCCCAAGGAUACAAUGUUUUAAUCUUAGAUAUAAGAUAACUUUAUAUUUCAUUUGCCUUGGACAUUCUUAAAUGUGUUAAAUAGAUGUGUAUUCCUCAACCUGGCAUAACUACAUAUCCUCUAGAUUUACUGAGCGUACAGAAGGCAGACAGGGCAACUUUGUGGAAAAAAAAAGAAGAAGAAAGAAGAAAACUAAAGAAUAGAACUCUACAACAAAAAUGUAGUUUCUAAAAUGGAUGCCAAAGUAGAAAAGAUAUUGAGAGAAAAAUAUAUGUGUAUUUCAGCAAAACUACAAACACACCAAAACAGGUACCAGCAGCAUGAAAACGCCAGGGGAACAAACCAAAAAAAUCACUCUAAUUUAUAGUAACUGAACCCUUGGCUUUACCUUCCUCCCAACACCUGAUAAUUCUGUGAAAUCACCCAGCUGUCACUCUUUUCCUUUUAGAAACAUGACACUGAUUUGUCUUUAUUAGAAUUCAGAGGUCUGCUUGAUGGGGCCCCUAAUAAAUGUAAGUCAUCAUCACUUCUUGACCUUUUUUCCCGGGAAAUUCUCGGUACGCGGUUAAACUGCUGAAAACAUAUUUGCAAGGUUCUGUGACUGUAACAUAAAAAUAAAGGAUCAAGGCUGGGUGGCUUUGGAGGUCUGAGCACAUCUGGGCUCCGCCCUGCCUGCACCCCAGAGGGAAAAUAACGCAGAUCGAUUAGAAACAGCAUCUGGGGGUAAUAGCAACGCUCUGCUUUGGGCUGAGCUGUCUGCAAAUAGGAAUGCUCUGCACAAGACUGAAGUACAGGAGGGGGUGUGCCAAGGAGCCCUUGCCCCUUCCUCUGCCCCUCCUAGCGUCCCCUUCCUCCCCCACCUGCCUGGCUACUGAGUGCCUUGAAAGAGCAGGAAAAAACCCUGUAGCCCAGAGAGCCUCAAUUAGCUAUCCACAUGAGAAAGAAAGAAAAAGAUUGAUGACGGAGUCCUAGUUAUGGUGACUUUGAGAUAAAAGGAUGGGGGGCGGCUUUUCCAAGAAACUGAAUCAUGACGCUUUUUUUUUUCUUUUUCUAUAAAAGCAACACUUGUCGUCCUUAUUUGUUCACUGGCUGCACUGGGCUGGUGGUACCCUAAAACAAAAUGAGGGCAGGUGGUCUCAGCCUUCACCACAUCCUAAGAUGGCCUCAGGCACCAGACAAAUCUAGACCCUGACCGUGAUGUUGCCAAGAGCCUAGUCAUAAAGACUCCCCUCUGCACGCCUGCCUGUAAAGACUGGUGUCCCUACCUCCCCUCUACUGCACACUUCAGAUGGCCACUGCAGAGAAAGCGAGAGGGUCUAUGACAUCUUAUUCGUGUCCCCUCUACUUCCUCAUUCCUCAGAGAGCAGAGGAACGGCUUCUAGGUCUGGCUUCUAGGUCUGUUCCCUCCAAUUCCUAAAAAUAAGUUUCCCUACAGCACUGGGUUGGGGGGAUGUCAGGGUAGGUGGUCAGAUAAGCUGUUUCUCAAAUAUUUGACAAACCGGCUGUCUGUGGACAAAACAACCAGUUGCUUUUCCAUGAUUGAACUUUCGACCAAAUUGAUUGGAUGCUUUGGUGUCAAGAAGACAAAAACUCAAGUCAAAAAGAUCACCAGAAUAGGAAAUUGUGGGCAACAAAAAAACAACAACAAAAACCAACCAAACAAAAACCAUACUACAGUAGGAAGCAUUACUUUUUCUAGCAACAAAAAUCUGAGUUUUCAGGUUGUGCUAAAUGACUCAAAAUUCGCCAGUGAAGAGACGGCAGAGAGAAUGGAUUUUUUAAAAGGUUAUACUGUUCCUAUUUAUUUGGCCUCGCUGCUGCCAGAAAGUGGCUUGGAGCCCUCUUUUUUAGCACUCUAUAAAAUGUAAAUGGUCUAAAUUAAGAAGCCAUCUAAUCUCAACCAAUAUUAAUUCUGACAUGAAAAAUGAGACCAAUUCUUCAAACAGGAUUAUGAGCCCCACCACCCGACAUUAACCGAUCACCUCACCCUGUUUCUCAAAGAACGGGAUAUUUUCCUUUUCCAAAGUGCCUAUUUAUUUCUAAGACUGGAUCAAAAUCCUCACACACUUUCCUUAUUCCGACAUUGAAAAGGUACAGCCUCCUAAUGUGGGCUGCUUUGACACCCCCCUCACCCCCAACUCAGCAAGCUUUUUUGUCUUAUUUGUCUUUUUUUGUGUUUUUUCCUCCAAACUAAAAUCCCUCUAAAAUAUCUAAACACCCCAACGGUCGUAAGUUGGGAUGCUGCCCCUUCCUCCUUGCAGACUGAACUGCCGGCUCCUAAAAUUGUUUUCCAAGCAGAAAAGGGAAAACUGAGAAAAAUAAAGAUUUUUUUCCCCUCAUGUUUUCUCCUCAACCGGUCCAUUGAAAUCAGCAGGAUCACGGUUCCUCCGUCUAUGCAGCAGGCAGAAUCACCGUGCGUCCAGAUAAAAGAAUUUGCCUUUUGGCUGGGCUCAGAUGGGGACACUGCAGUUUUUCUAGAAAAAGGAGGCAUCUCUGUAUCCCUGCAGUACCGCCUCAGCAUCCCAAGACCCCUACCCCUUCCCAUAAGAUCUCGCAGAUGUUGCAUUUGGCUUGUGAAUCCUCUUGGUAAGUGCAAGAAAUAAAGUGGCUUUACUCGGAAAUGUCCAUCGUUCACCUACCGCACAAAGCCCUAAGUCCCUGCUGUUUCAUUAUCCUCUACCCGGUAGUAA
This is a non-coding RNA of Delphinapterus leucas (beluga whale), 5214 nucleotides long. NCBI's taxonomy places the organism in Eukaryota, Metazoa, Chordata, Mammalia, Artiodactyla, Monodontidae. The record is from RefSeq and is a predicted model, not a curated record.